Small nuclear RNA from Balaenoptera musculus (blue whale), 104 nucleotides. NCBI's taxonomy places the organism in Eukaryota, Metazoa, Chordata, Mammalia, Artiodactyla, Balaenopteridae. The record is from Ensembl.
GUCCUCACUUUGGUAGCACAUAUACUAAAAUUGGAUCAAUACAGAGUUUAACAUGACCCCUGCUCAAUGUUGACAUGCAGAUUCAUAAAGAAUUCUAUAUUUUG